GGUGGGCUCAUCAACAAACCGACCACGGUCACCCAAAGCUCCGAUGGCUCCAAGGAGAGUGAAGAGGAUGAAGAAGAGAAGAAGUGGCUCAGCUUCAUAAAUUGGAAUUCCGGUUUCCAAAUUAAGUUGUUGUAGGAUUCCCUUUCCGGUUAUUCCUUCUCCCAAUAAAGAUGCCUACAAAUUACAAAACUCGUACAAAAUAUUAUACUAGUAUAUGUUGAGAGUUAUUUGACUUGUUUAAAUGAUUGAAACUUAUUUCCCAUAUGUUUAUCAACCAAAAAACUAUCAAGGACACGAGAAUUAGUGUAAAAACAAAAAGAAGUUACACAUCAUCCCUUUGUAUUAUAAAGUCAAAAAUACUAUUAUAUCUGAAUAAGUGUUCCGAAUAGAUGUUUUUCGUCUUCAAAGAAAAGGUUAUGGAGAGUAUACUUACAGCAAAACCAAUCAUAGCGACUCGGCCAACAAAGAGCUCAUUUUGCUUUGUGAAUCCAAUGCCUCCGGAUGUGCCGAAAAUACCAUCUUCGACCUUCGGCUUUGAGACUACGGCCUAAACAUUUUUAAAAAAAAAUCAUCAAAAAAGGGGAAAAGAAAGUCGGACAACAAAACAUAAAUAUAAAAAAUAUAGAUUGGAAUUAUAGGCAUUGUUCAUGUCGUUAACAUGAGCAUGACAACUAGUUGGAUGUGUAAUAAUAAUACAGCCUAACCUUAACCACUCUAUUUUAAAGAUUUGUGGCAUUAUACCAUAAUUGAAGUUUCAAAACUAAUAAACAAGUUUUACAAUAGUACAACAUGCAUAAAACUAAAACCAACCUUCUUGACAGGAGCUUUUGCCUUGGAUUUAAAGAGGGCAACCGGGCUUGUAAACUUUGUGGCCGGAGACAAGUUUGGAAGGUUGCGUGGGAGUAAGUGGUAGGAGAAAGGCUUAGGUUUAAGUGAUUGAAGCAAUGGUUGGCCGGAAAGUAUGGUGUUAGAUGUCAACAACAUUGCUUGAGCCAUUUCUAUUAAUGAUCGAUUUCCUAGCUCUCUUCUCUUCAAAAUAAAAGUUGAAGAAGAGUUUUAAUU
RNAcentral lists this long non-coding RNA (1062 nucleotides) under Lactuca sativa (garden lettuce). RNAcentral's name for it is "long non-coding RNA (LSAT_LNC006378)". The record is from RNAcentral. Lineage: Eukaryota; Viridiplantae; Streptophyta; Magnoliopsida; Asterales; Asteraceae.